RNAcentral lists this unclassified non-coding RNA (1391 nucleotides) under Hevea brasiliensis (rubber tree). The record is from RNAcentral. Lineage: Eukaryota; Viridiplantae; Streptophyta; Magnoliopsida; Malpighiales; Euphorbiaceae.
CAGCGGCGAUGAGACUGCUCCUUUUUUCGGCUUCCUCGGAGCCGCCGCAGCUCUCGUCUUUUCUUGCAUGGGUGCGGCUUAUGGGACUGCAAAGAGUGGGGUGGGUGUGGCUUCCAUGGGAGUGAUGCGACCCGAGCUCGUAAUGAAGUCGAUAGUUCCAGUAGUUAUGGCUGGAGUUUUGGGGAUUUACGGUUUAAUUAUAGCUGUUAUUAUUAGUACUGGUAUUAAUCCCAAGGCUAAAUCUUAUUAUCUUUUUGAUGGUUAUGCUCAUUUGUCCUCUGGUCUUGCUUGUGGGCUUGCUGGUUUAUCUGCUGGUAUGGCAAUUGGGAUCGUUGGUGAUGCUGGAGUCCGGUAAUCUUUCAACUUUGCCUCUGUUGGUUUUUGUUAAAUGUCGAUUUUGUUUGUAUGAUUGAAUAUAAGCCUCUCUGUGGAUCAUCAAAGGAGUCACCUUUUAAAAUUGAUUGCUGAAGGAGUGUGACCAUAGAUUAGUUGAGGGUAGAUGCCAAUUUUCCUCAUUGCCACCCUUUGGAGCUGUCACAAGCAAACUGUGAUGUGUUUUCAUUGUUUCUUAAGAGGGAUCUAUUUCGAUCUGUAAUCAUACUCUGAUUUGUUGUGACUUGUAAUCACUAGCGGAUCUGCCUUAUCAUUUAAAUAGUGAACAUAGUUGUGCAUUUGUAGUUUUGUGGAGAACUCAGAUUCAUAUGAUUCCUUGCCAGUGUUGGGAUCAAACUUUAGCUUGCGUCUGCAUUUAUCUACCUAUUAACAGUGAAGUGACGAGGAUUGAUAUUAUGUUAGCAAUAGGAGUGGAUUUUCUGUUUUGUGACUUCUGUCUUUGGAAUUUGGAUUUAAAGGGAAUAGCUUUGUUUGGCAUGAGAGUAUACGAGAUAGAAGUUUAAAUAAUAAUCUUGACAUCUGUUGAGCCUAUUGUGUGUUCCUUUUGCUUCAAAGGUUUCAGGUUAUUGAAUGCCUGCCUAUAUUAUGAAAGCUUUCUUCUGGAUAUAUUUUGAUUGAAAUCUCUCAUGUUCCGCUUACUUGUUUUUCUAGGCUGCAGCCCUCCAUAAAUUCAAUAUAUGCAGUAUAUGUGGAUGAUUAAAUGGUAUCAUCUGUUAAAUGAUAUGAUCAUUUUCCUUGUUCUUUUUCUUGUCCAUACAUUUUUUAGGGCUAAUGCACAGCAACCGAAGCUGUUCGUAGGAAUGAUUCUCAUCCUUAUCUUUGCUGAAGCACUUGCCCUCUACGGUCUUAUUGUGGGAAUCAUUCUCUCAUCCCGAGCUGGCCAGUCUCGUGCAGAGUAGAAAUGGUUGGUGUGUGACUCUUAAUAUCAGCGAUUCAGUUAAGCAUUUGAAUUGUAUGGUAUGACUAGAAGCUGCUCAGAUUCUGUUUUAGAUUGUUCG